CAAUAAAUACACAAUAUUUUUAUGGGAGACGAGCAUUGUUUUUUUUCUUUCUUCAUGGACAAUUUAGAAAUCUAGUUCCAUAUGAAAACCUCUCUUGCAUUCAAAAUUCGUGAAGUCCAUGCCUCAGUUUGUUAGCAAUAAAUACACAAUAUUUUUAUGGGAGACGAGCAUUGUUUUUUUUCUUUCUUCAUGGACAAUUUAGAAAUCUAGUUCCAUAUGAAAACCUCUCUUGCAUUCAAAAUUCGUGGUAUGAGGUUUCAGCAUAAUUGUAAUGGUAUAACUAAACUACUGUGAAAAAGUAUCAGUAGAUCACAUGGUAGAACCUGACUAUUGCUAGUCAUUAUUUACAUGAUCUCUAUGAACU
RNAcentral lists this long non-coding RNA (364 nucleotides) under Nicotiana benthamiana. Its description in RNAcentral is "long non-coding RNA (NBEN_LNC039356)". Lineage: Eukaryota; Viridiplantae; Streptophyta; Magnoliopsida; Solanales; Solanaceae. The record is from RNAcentral.